UAAAAACGAGCUUUGCAUCCAAAACUCUGUGUCAAGCCACAUAUUUUAACCCCACCAGGAGAGAGAGGGAAGGAAGGGGAGUUUGGUCUGCAAGCUGCCAGCUUAGCCCACUUCUCCAUCACUUUUUUUUUUUUUUUUCCAGAGCUCCAUUUCUUCAAUCAGCCUUUAUUAAGAGCAUAGGUUUGAGUGUAUAGGAACAAAUUCUUCUGGCUCUUUAAGGAACAUAUUGGAAGGGGGGUUUUAUUAGGCUGCAUUGCUGGAUAAGUGAUACAACAUGCUUUCCAGCAUGAAUCAUCUGAGUGGAGUGACAAAAAAGAAGCCUGAAAACUAAGCACAGCCAAAAUAUUGGCAGGCCUCAGCCACUCGGGCCAGAUUUCAGAUUUCGUCUCCUUUAGACCAAAAAAAAAGUAUAUAUAUAUUAAAUUAAAUUUUAAUCUCCUGGUGACAAUUCCCACGGAGGAGGGCUGAAGUAUUUUGUCUACAUCCCUCCUGCCCCCUUGGAGUCCCAGACUCCCCGCGAUCAGAGAUGGAGGAGCCCCCCAAGGGUCACCUCGGCCGGCCCCGCGUUUGCUCCCGUGCCCAGGCAGCGCCCCUGCCGCGAGCUCGCUGAGCGGAGGACCGGCUCGGCUUUAUUAGCAACACAUGCGGGGCCCACCGCGCACCCUGACAGCCGGCAGCUCCGCGCCAGAAUGGAUGGCUCGGAGGCUGCGAGGCCGCGGUUACAAAGGCGCCGCGCCGUUCUCAGGUGGACAAACGCGGGCCCGGGCGGCGGGCUCCGGUUCCCAGGCGCGGGGGCGGCGGCCCCUUCAAGUCGGGCGCGGGCGGGAGCGGAACCCGUGUUAAUUACUAUUCUGAACCUUGCUGCGCUUCAAUUUCCUCAUCUCAGAGACAGCCACGUCUACACUAUGGGGCAGUGGUGAGGACUGAAUGAAGACUGAUUUGCAGCACUAGCACUGUGCCUGGGGGAUAGCACGUGCUCAAGGAGUCUGGCUCAUUGUGACCAUCACUUACUCUGAGGAAAGCCAUGUCAGCAGCUGCCUUCUGGAGAAUCCACCUGGCGAGGAACUCCAGCCUCCUGCCAACAGCCACGUGAGUGAGCUUGGAAGCACGUCCUGCAGCCCCGGUCCAAGAACUGAGUGCAGCCCCGGCCAAUAGCUUGACUGCAGUCCGACAAGAGACCUUGAGCCAAGCCACUCUGCAUUCUUGACCCUCAGAAACUGUAUGAGAUAUUAAUGCGGUUUUAAGCUGCUAAGUUUUGGGGUAAUUUGUUACACAGCAGUUGAUAACUAUUGAACACAAGACAUGUGAACAGACUGCCUACAGAUAUAGAAAUGUAUUCUGGAAACACUGAGGCUUCCUGCCCACAUGUAUGUAUACACACAGUAUACUUCCUUAUACCCCAGAUGCUUCCUUAUUGAUCUAAUACUGAAAAAAGAAUGAAGUAUGACAUUUUAUGUUCGUUACUGCUCUUUCGAUAGGUGGAAUGUAAAAAGGUGAGAUGCGUUGCUUGUAUUAACACAAUUGGAGACACUGGCACUGCCGUCAUGCCCAGGCUGUCCAGCAGACGUCACUUUAUUCCGUGGUGCAUUCCCAGAACAUUGCAUGGGUGAAUAACGACUUUUUGUAAAUUGAAUCAGGCUUAAAGUUCCCUAGUGUUGCUGGCUAAAGGAAGCCUCGAGUGAGCUCUUUUGUACCCGAAUAAAUUUGGUAAAAUAAAGAGACAGUUCCUAAUUUGUCCAGAUUAGGAUUUAAUAUAUUUUGCUUCCUUUAGAUAGGGCACAACUGCUUUAUUCCUAUUGCCAUUAUUAUUAGUAGUGGUAUAAUUUAAUGAACAAAAUUCGUAGGCCUCAAUCAGAUCUCCAUAAAU
Molecule: long non-coding RNA, 1867 nt
Organism: Equus caballus (horse)
Lineage: Eukaryota; Metazoa; Chordata; Mammalia; Perissodactyla; Equidae
Source: Ensembl